CAGCCGCCGCGGUAACACGAAGGGUGCGAGCGUUACUCGGAAUUACUGGGCGUAAAGCGUGCGUAGGUGGUGGUUUAAGUCCGUUGUGAAAGCCCUGGGCUCAACCUGGGAAUUGCAGUGGAUGCUGGGUCACUAGAGUGUGGUAGAGGAUAGUGGAAUUUCCGGUGUAGCAGUGAAAUGCGUAGAGAUCGGAAGGAACAUCUGUGGCGAAGGCGACUAUCUGGGCCAACACUGACACUGAGGCACGAAAGCGUGGGGAGCAAACAGGAUUAGAUACCCGCGUAGUCCCUGUCUCUUAUAC
This 301-nucleotide ribosomal RNA is filed under the name uncultured bacterium. RNAcentral's name for it is "partial 16S ribosomal RNA". It matches the Rfam family "Bacterial small subunit ribosomal RNA", at positions 509 to 807 of the family's 1533-position model. The record is from RNAcentral.